Molecule: long non-coding RNA, 598 nt
Filed under: Marmota monax (woodchuck)
Lineage: Eukaryota; Metazoa; Chordata; Mammalia; Rodentia; Sciuridae
Source: RNAcentral
GACGACGUACCACAGAACUAACAGCAGUAGUGCAGAGGACUGAAGAGCCAGCACCCGAGGGCAAGCCUCCACACUGCCUCUAACCUAAGCCCGCCUUCCCCGUUAGAAUUUAUAAUUUUGUUAAAGAUGUAAUUUACUAAAAUUUGAAAUGGUGUUCUAACAACGACGCCACCGUCGCCACAAUCACCCUGAUUCACAGUAAUACUGAUAGACAUAUUUUCCUACACCAGAGCAGAAAAGAAUGCAUGUUUCUAGCACAUGUAAUAUAAAAACCCCAGAGAAUAAGUUUACACUUAACAAGAUGUUGUUUUCUAUUUUUGAAUUUCUUAUAAUUUCCCGCCCUGAGAGUGAGGCCGCAGGGGGCAUAAUAUUUGUAUAAACAACUGCCACCCCAGAGCGACAUUUAUUUUCCAAGGUGACGCCAAGCUCAUGCUGUUGGCUUCGUGUGGUGUUGUGUGCGCUCCGCCUGGACUGAAGGCCUGAGGAGUUGAGGAAGAUCAGGGUUUUUUUUCCUAUUUGCUGCCAUGGCCAAGCCCUCCAGAAUGUCAGGCACCUCACGACAUCGGACAAGGACACUCUAAAAAAACCCCACAGACAU